This 465-nucleotide ribosomal RNA is filed under the name uncultured bacterium. RNAcentral describes it as "bacterial SSU rRNA". It matches the Rfam family "Bacterial small subunit ribosomal RNA", at positions 330 to 793 of the family's 1533-position model. The record is from RNAcentral.
UCCAGACUCCUACGGGAGGCAGCAGUGAGGAAUAUUGGUCAAUGGGCGAGAGCCUGAACCAGCCAAGUCGCGUGAGGGAGUACUGCCCUAUGGGUUGUAAACCUCUUUUGUCGGGGAGCAAAAGCCGGACGUGUCCGUCUGUGAGAGUACCCGAAGAAAAAGCAUCGGCUAACUCCGUGCCAGCAGCCGCGGUAAUGCGUAGGGAGCGAGCGUUGUCCGGAAUUACUGGGUGUAAAGGGAGCGUAGGCGGGACGGCAAGUCAGAUGUGAAAACUGAGGGCUCAACCUUCAGACUGCAUUUGAAACUGCUGUUCUUGGGUGAAGUAGAGGUAAGCGGAAUUCCUAGUGUAGCGGUGAAAUGCGUAGAUAUUAGGAGGAACAUCGGUGGCGAAGGCGGCUUACUGGGCUUUUACUGACGCUGAGGCUCGAAAGCGUGGGGAGCAAACAGGAUUAGAUACCCGUGUAC